RNAcentral lists this ribosomal RNA (253 nucleotides) under uncultured bacterium. RNAcentral describes it as "partial 16S ribosomal RNA". It matches the Rfam family "Bacterial small subunit ribosomal RNA", at positions 524 to 776 of the family's 1533-position model. The record is from RNAcentral.
GACGGAGGAUGCAAGUGUUAAUCGGAAUUACUGGGCGUAAAGCGCGCGUAGGCGGUUUUUUAAGUCGGAUGUGAAAGCCCCGGGCUCAACCUGGGAACUGCAUCCGAUACUGGAAGACUAGAAUGCGGGAGAGGGAGGUAGAAUUCCAUGUGUAGCAGUGAAAUGCGUAGAUAUAUGGAGGAAUACCAGUGGCGAAGGCGGCCUCCUGGCUCGACAUUGACGCUGAGGUGCGAAAGCGUGGGGAGCAAACGGG